RNAcentral lists this non-coding RNA (30 nucleotides) under Homo sapiens (human). The record is from RNAcentral. Lineage: Eukaryota; Metazoa; Chordata; Mammalia; Primates; Hominidae.
UGAUGGGCAAGGUGUUCUUUGGGCAACUGU